Molecule: long non-coding RNA, 475 nt
Organism: Herpailurus yagouaroundi (jaguarundi)
Lineage: Eukaryota; Metazoa; Chordata; Mammalia; Carnivora; Felidae
Exons: 2
Source: RefSeq, a predicted model, not a curated record
AUUUCUAUCUGCCAGAGGCCGCUAAUAAUGCUUUGGCGUCAUCCCCUUGACGCCACUCAUUACCCACUGGGUGUGGGAAGCAGGGGUAACAGCCUUGGGUUCUGGCCUUUCUCCCACUUCCCAGACAGAUAUGUCAGUCACACCAGAAGCCUGGACUCUCGGGGAGGAACGGAGCCUCCAUGUAGACUAUGGAGCACCUGCCUAGAAAAUCAGGACCUGGUUAUAGAUUCCAGGAUUUGAAGGCAGAGAGAUCAGUGGGACUGGGAAAAUCCACACUCCACCAAGCCAAGUAGAAACACCAGCUUGUGAAGUAGAAAAACCAGAUUCUGAAACUGGGAGAGUCAAGGCAACCUACUGCUGCUAACGCUGAGGGCAGGGAUUUGUGAGUAACUUGAGUCUGACAUUAGAAAUUGUUAAUAUCUCAUGGGUUGCCAUCUUUAAGAGAACAAGAAAAUAAAAUGUCAGGGUGCCUGGA